This 253-nucleotide ribosomal RNA is filed under the name uncultured bacterium. RNAcentral describes it as "partial 16S ribosomal RNA". It matches the Rfam family "Bacterial small subunit ribosomal RNA", at positions 524 to 776 of the family's 1533-position model. The record is from RNAcentral.
UACGAAGGGGGCUAGCGUUGCUCGGAAUCACUGGGCGUAAAGCGCACGUAGGCGGAUUGCUAAGUCAGGGGUGAAAUCCUGGAGCUCAACUCCAGAACUGCCUUUGAUACUGGCGAUCUCGAGUCCGGGAGAGGUGAGUGGAACUGCGAGUGUAGAGGUGAAAUUCGUAGAUAUUCGCAAGAACACCUAUGGCGAAGGCAGCUCUCUGGGACGGUACUGACGCUGAGACGCGAAAGCGUGGGGAGCGAACAGG